CCGUCGUCAAACUAUGAAUCGAUAUAUUGAACGAAGCUGCAGGGCUAUGGACAUUGCUUACGAGCUUUAUUCUUUAGCUAAUUAAUUACAAGUUUCAGCAGCAUUUAUUGUCGAUACAAUCUUGGACACCUUCGAGAACCUCACAAAUUUAUGAAUAACCUACACUUACACCACCUAACAAGCAGAAAAUUCCCACGAAAAGAAUAAUCAGAACAUGGCCAUGUCCAUGAUGGGCUGAUUCCCAUGGAAAUAACUGGUCCAUGGAUUCAUGAAAUAAUCGUCAUGUUCAUCUUUGAUAAUUAGGCCAUUGCUCAACUUCACAUGAUUAAUGAUCUCAUUGAGAGACUCUAAUCUGUGACUGAGCUCAUCUACCUGAGCUCCGAGUAUUGAAUUCUCAGCUUCAAUGUUCGAGAAGAUUUGAGAGGUGAUGAUGAUGCUGUUAAGAAUCUCAUGAUUUUCUUUCUUGAGCUGACCCAGUUGUGCCAUGAGAUCAUCCAAGCGCUUCUGCUUCCUCAUCCUGGAUCUACGUGCUGAUUCCUUAUUGGAUAUCAUUCUUUUACGUUUUCUUUGAUCCAUGAUCUGCUGCAGAUCCUGCUCAGAGUUUCAGUUCCUCUGGAUGCUGGACCCUGCAGAUGCCCCACUGGAAGAGGCCAUAAAUAUAUAGCAAUAAUAAUAAUACUAAGCAAGCCUGAAAAGAUGAUUGAAAUAGAAACUAGAGCCGCAGGACCCAGGAACUGAUUUGAAUUGAAGAUAAGUGUAGAUUAAGAAGGGGGCCGGCUGAGAGUUCAUGAAAAGACGUAGAACCAAUAGAGGAAGACAACAGAGAAAGAUUGAACAAGAUGGGUCCUGCGCCUGAGAGUGGAGUUUAUCAUAAAUCCAGAAAGGAGGAUUUCACAGAGUACAGGAGACAUAUGGUUCUCAAAGAUCAUCAAGAACAAGAUGAUCUUAAGCAUCAAAAUAUAAAUAUUUAGAGCAAGUUGAAGGAAGAUUUAAAGAGUUUCAAAGAGGAAGAAAUCUUGUUGAAUAAGGAAGAUGGGUUUUUCAUUGGAUUAGAACCUUGGGCUUACCCACAAGGAGAGAGGACGAAAGUGGAGGAGGAGGCUUAAAAUCCAACAAAAGAUGAGGAUAAGAAGGAAAAGAGGUUUCU
Molecule: unclassified non-coding RNA, 1147 nt
Filed under: Hevea brasiliensis (rubber tree)
Lineage: Eukaryota; Viridiplantae; Streptophyta; Magnoliopsida; Malpighiales; Euphorbiaceae
Source: RNAcentral